RNAcentral lists this ribosomal RNA (631 nucleotides) under uncultured Sphingomonadales bacterium. RNAcentral describes it as "bacterial SSU rRNA". It matches the Rfam family "Bacterial small subunit ribosomal RNA", at positions 8 to 685 of the family's 1533-position model. Lineage: Bacteria; Pseudomonadati; Pseudomonadota; Alphaproteobacteria; Sphingomonadales. The record is from RNAcentral.
AGGGUUUGAUCCUGGCUCAGAACGAACGCUGGCGGCAUGCCUAACACAUGCAAGUCGAACGAACCCUUCGGGGUUAGUGGCGCACGGGUGCGUAACGCGUGGGAACCUGCCUUUUGGUUCGGAAUAACAGUGAGAAAUUGCUGCUAAUACCGGAUAAUGUCUUCGGACCAAAGAUUUAUCGCCAUUAGAUGGGCCCGCGUAGGAUUAGCUAGUUGGUGGGGUAAAGGCCUACCAAGGCGACGAUCCUUAGCUGGUCUUAGAGGAUGAUCAGCCACACUGGGACUGAGACACGGCCCAGACUCCUACGGGAGGCAGCAGUGGGGAAUAUUGGACAAUGGGCGAAAGCCUGAUCCAGCAAUGCCGCGUGAGUGAUGAAGGCCUUAGGGUUGUAAAGCUCUUUUACCCGGGAUGAUAAUGACAGUACCGGGAGAAUAAGCCCCGGCUAACUCCGUGCCAGCAGCCGCGGUAAUACGGAGGGGGCUAGCGUUGUUCGGAAAUACUGGGCGUAAAGCGUGCGUAGGCGGCUUGGCAAGUCAGGGGUGAAAUCCCAGAGCUCAACUCUGGAACUGCCCUUGAAACUGCCGAGCUAGAAUCUUGGAGAGGUCAGUGGAAUUCCGAGUGUAGAGGUGAA